This 597-nucleotide ribosomal RNA is filed under the name Trichosporon asahii. Its description in RNAcentral is "eukaryotic LSU rRNA". It matches the Rfam family "Eukaryotic large subunit ribosomal RNA", at positions 62 to 648 of the family's 3401-position model. Lineage: Eukaryota; Fungi; Basidiomycota; Tremellomycetes; Trichosporonales; Trichosporonaceae. The record is from RNAcentral.
AAACUAACAAGGAUUCCCCUAGUAACGGCGAGUGAAGCGGGAAGAGCUCAAAUUUGAAAUCUGGCAGUCUUCGAUUGUCCGAGUUGUAAUCUAUAGAGGCGUUUUCCGUGCCGGACCGUGUCCAAGUCUCCUGGAAAGGAGUAUCAAAGAGGGUGAUAAUCCCGUACUUAACACGACCACCGGUGCUCUGUGAUACGUCUUCUACGAGUCGAGUUGUUUGGGAAUGCAGCUCAAAAUGGGUGGUGAAUUCCAUCUAAAGCUAAAUAUUGGCGAGAGACCGAUAGCGAACAAGUACCGUGAGGGAAAGAUGAAAAGCACUUUGGAAAGAGAGUUAAACAGUACGUGAAAUUGUUGAAAGGGAAACGAUUGAAGUCAGUCGUGUUCUUUGGAUUCAGCCAGUUCUGCUGGUCUACUUCCUUGGAACGGGUCAACAUCAGUUUUGUCCGGUGGAUAAAGGUAGUAGGAAUGUGACUUCUCCGGAAGUGUUAUAGCCUAUUAUCACAUACACUGGGUGAGACUGAGGACUGCAGCUCGCCUUUAUGGCCGGCCUUCGGGCACGUUCGAGCUUAGGAUGUUGACAUAAUGGCUUUAAACGAC